CGGUUGAUCCCGCCGGAGGACAUUGCUAUUGGGAUUCGAUUUAGCCAUGCUAGUCGAGCGAGUUCAGACUCGCGGCGAAUAGCUCAGUAACACGUGGCCAAGCUCCCCUUCAGUCAGCGAUACCCUCGGGAAACUGAGGUUAACAGCUGAUACAAAACGCCAGCUGGAAUGCGGCGUUUCAGAAAGACAUCGCUGAAGGAUGCGGCUGCGGCCGAUUAGGUAGACGGUGGGGUAACGGCCCACCGUGCCAGUAAUCGGUACGGGUGAUGAGAGUCAGAGCCCGGAGACGGAAUCUGAGACAAGAUUCCGGGCCCUACGGGGCGCAGCAGGCGCGAAACCUUACACUGCACGGAAGUGCGAUAGGGGAAUCCCAAGUGCGAGGGCAUAUUAGCCCUCGCUUUUCUCGACUGUAAGGUGGUCGACGAAUAAGAGCUGGGCAAGACCGGUGCCAGCCGCCGCGGUAAUACCGGCAGCUCAAGUGAUGUCCCAUAUUAUUGGGCCUAAAGCGUCCGUAGCUGGCCGACCAAGUCUCCCGGGAAAUCCACCCGCCCAACGGGUGGGCGUCCGGUAGAAACUGGCCGGCUUGGAACCGGAAGGCUCAGAGAGUACGUCCGGGGUAGGAGUGAAAUCCCGUAAUCCCGGACGGACUACCGAUGGCGAAAGCACUCUGAGAAGACGGCUUCGACAGUGAGGGACGAAAGCUCGGGUCUCAAACCGGAUUAGAUACCCGGGUAGUC
This 737-nucleotide ribosomal RNA is filed under the name uncultured haloarchaeon. RNAcentral describes it as "bacterial SSU rRNA". It matches the Rfam family "Archaeal small subunit ribosomal RNA", at positions 5 to 746 of the family's 1478-position model. The record is from RNAcentral. Lineage: Archaea; Methanobacteriati; Methanobacteriota; Halobacteria; Halobacteriales; Halobacteriaceae.